AGGGCCUUCUGCCAAGGGCCCGCUUUGAUCUCCCUUAAAGGACAGCAUUAUCUGACCAGAGACCCAUGCAGGAGACCUCUCCAGGUACACAUAUUUCCUGCUACUGAAUGGCUUAGACUGGGAUUUGCAAGGAACUACGAAGUCCAAGACCUUUGCCUUUCUUUUAGAAGAAGGCACCAGCUGGUUCUCCAAUGUUGAAGGUCUUCUCCAGAGAUACCUUAAGGUGUGGGGAGAUUACAACUUGCUCAAGGUCUCAUAGCUAGAAGAUGUCAGAGUGAUAACUCAAACCAUGUCACAUGACUCUAAGCCCAAAGCAGCCUCUAGAAGGUUGUUUGAUCUUCUGAUGGAAGCACAAAUCACCAUUCCAACAUGAAAGAUGGAGAAACUUAAGUCUAGAGAGAUUUAAAGGACUUGUCAAAGGCAAUGAAACAAGUGAUGAGGAAACUGAGGCCCAGAGAGGAUAAAUGACUUGCUCAAGGUUAGCCAGUUGGUCAAUGGCAAAGAUUAAACCAGAACCCAGAUCUCCUCUCUCCAGCCAGAGUCUUCAAGCAAAGUCCCUAGGAGGAACUCUGAAAGCCACAUGUUGAGAUGGCCCCAUUACAGGAUGGAGAGCACCUGAACCCCCAAGUUAUGGACUAGAAGAAGACAGUUGCCCUGGAAAAUCAUCUGACCCACAUUGGACUUUAUGUGAGGGGGAAAUAAACCUUUAUUAUGUUAAGCUACACAAUAAUAAAUAACAACAAUAA
This 746-nucleotide long non-coding RNA is filed under the name Homo sapiens (human). RNAcentral describes it as "long intergenic non-protein coding RNA 511". Lineage: Eukaryota; Metazoa; Chordata; Mammalia; Primates; Hominidae. The record is from RNAcentral.